This 709-nucleotide long non-coding RNA is filed under the name Felis catus (domestic cat). RNAcentral's name for it is "lncRNA (ENSFCAG00000048883.1)". The record is from RNAcentral. Lineage: Eukaryota; Metazoa; Chordata; Mammalia; Carnivora; Felidae.
CCUGAACUCACAGAUGGAGAGCGCUGACAGCCCUGAGCAGGUCUCCACCCACACCCAGAUCUUCCACAGAGGCUGGACGAUCGAGUGUCCUGCUGUAGAUGACGCUUGUCUUGGCUUUAUGCUGGUUCACCCCACCAAGGUGGUGAAGGUCAAAGCAGAAGAACCAACUUGGACAGACGAUUCUACGUCGGAUGCUUCUGUUCUGCAACCUGAGUAAGGCCCGGUGAAACACCAUUCACAAAGCUUCUCAUGGUCCUCUCUGGAUCACAGACAUCCCCCUGGUGUUGAGUCCAUACCUUUGGGGUAUGGUGCGGAGAAGGGCCAAGCUCCAGCCAGGGCCGAUGUGAACCACCGAACCCCUGGCAGGCUGCAGUUUCUACUCCAAUUACACAAGCGAUGUUAGGUAUUUUGGGGCUUUGCAUCUUGAUCAGGAAUAUGCCCUUGUGAAAGGGCUGCUUGGUUUUGGCCUGCUGACGUCAGCAGUGUUAAUAUGAUUUAAUUGAUUAAUAGGCAUUAAUGACUGGUAAUGAAGGCCUAACCUGGUAGCUGGGAGGAGCUCACAAAACAUGCCUAUAAAUGGAAGAAUGGCCUUGUUUCCGAUUGUUGACCCUUGCCUGUGGACAGUAGCCCCAUUUUAGGGUCCUCUGCCUCGUGCGAUACGGGUUAGCAAUACAAUAAAAUGCAUAUAUUAAUAUAUUUCUUAGAAUCU